CUACGGGAUGCUGCAGUGGGGAAUAUUGCACAAUGGGGGAAACCCUGAUGCAGCAACGCCGCGUGGAGGAUGACACAUUUCGGUGCGUAAACUCCUUUUAUAUAAGAAGAUAAUGACGGUAUUAUAUGAAUAAGCACCGGCUAACUCCGUGCCAGCAGCCGCGGUAAUACGGGGGGUGCAAGCGUUACUCGGAAUCACUGGGCGUAAAGAGCAUGUAGGCUGGUUUGUAAGUUGGAAGUGAAAUCCUAUGGCUUAACCAUAGAACUGCUUCCAAAACUACUUACCUAGAAUAUGGGAGAGGUAGAUGGAAUUUCUGGUGUAGGGGUAAAAUCCGUAGAGAUCAGAAGGAAUACCGAUUGCGAAGGCGAUCUACUGGAACAUUAUUGACGCUCAGAUGCGAAAGCGUGGGGAGCAAACAGGAUUAGAUACCCUCGUAGUC
This 439-nucleotide ribosomal RNA is filed under the name uncultured bacterium. RNAcentral describes it as "partial 16S ribosomal RNA". It matches the Rfam family "Bacterial small subunit ribosomal RNA", at positions 339 to 795 of the family's 1533-position model. The record is from RNAcentral.